This 399-nucleotide ribosomal RNA is filed under the name uncultured Methanosaeta sp. Its description in RNAcentral is "bacterial SSU rRNA". It matches the Rfam family "Archaeal small subunit ribosomal RNA", at positions 941 to 1338 of the family's 1478-position model. Lineage: Archaea; Methanobacteriati; Methanobacteriota; Methanomicrobia; Methanotrichales; Methanotrichaceae. The record is from RNAcentral.
GACAAUAUGAAGGUCAGGCUGAAGACCUUACCCGAUUAGCUGAGAGGUGGUGCAUGGCCGUCGUCAGUUCGUACUGUGAAGCAUCCUGUUAAGUCAGGCAACGAGCGAGACCCACGUCCACAGUUGCCAGCAUACCCGUCCGGGGUGAUGGGUACACUGUGGAGACCGCCGCUGCUAAAGCGGAGGAAGGAGUGGGCAACGGUAGGUCAGUAUGCCCCGAAUCUCCCGGGCUACACGCGGGCUACAAUGGUUGGUACAAUGGGCAUCUACCCCGAAAGGGGAAGGAAAUCUCUUAAAGCCAAUCGUAGUUCGGAUUGAGGGCUGCAACUCGCCCUCAUGAAGCUGGAAUCCGUAGUAAUCGCGUUUCAACAGAACGCGGUGAAUACGUCCCUGCUCCUU